RNAcentral lists this transfer RNA (64 nucleotides) under Sceloporus magister (desert spiny lizard). Its description in RNAcentral is "tRNA-Cys". The record is from RNAcentral. Lineage: Eukaryota; Metazoa; Chordata; Lepidosauria; Squamata; Phrynosomatidae.
AGCUUCGAGGUGUUUACACGUCAAAUUGCAAGUUUGGAGAAGGGCCAUAAAGGCCCCGGGGCUU